GCUGGCGGCGUGCCUAAUACAUGCAAGUCGAGCGAACAGAUAAGGAGCUUGCUCCUUUGACGUUAGCGGCGGACGGGUGAGUAACACGUGGGUAACCUACCUAUAAGACUGGGAUAACUUCGGGAAACCGGAGCUAAUACCGGAUAACAUUUGGAACCGCAUGGUUCUAAAGUGAAAGAUGGUUUUGCUAUCACUUAUAGAUGGACCCGCGCCGUAUUAGCUAGUUGGUAAGGUAACGGCUUACCAAGGCGACGAUACGUAGCCGACCUGAGAGGGUGAUCGGCCACACUGGAACUGAGACACGGUCCAGACUCCUACGGGAGGCAGCAGUAGGGAAUCUUCCGCAAUGGGCGAAAGCCUGACGGAGCAACGCCGCGUGAGUGAUGAAGGGUUUCGGCUCGUAAAACUCUGUUAUUAGGGAAGAACAAACGUGU
RNAcentral lists this ribosomal RNA (434 nucleotides) under Staphylococcus saprophyticus. RNAcentral's name for it is "bacterial SSU rRNA". It matches the Rfam family "Bacterial small subunit ribosomal RNA", at positions 35 to 458 of the family's 1533-position model. Lineage: Bacteria; Bacillati; Bacillota; Bacilli; Caryophanales; Staphylococcaceae. The record is from RNAcentral.